Molecule: ribosomal RNA, 343 nt
Filed under: uncultured bacterium
Lineage: Bacteria
Description: bacterial SSU rRNA
Rfam family: Bacterial small subunit ribosomal RNA
Source: RNAcentral
GAUGAACGCCGGCGGUGUGCCUAAUACAUGCAAGUCGUACGCACUGGACCAACUAAUUGAUGGUGCUUGCACCUGAUUGACGAUGGAUCACCAGUGAGUGGCGGACGGGUGAGUAACACGUAGGUAACCUGCCCCGGAGCGGGGGAUAACAUUUGGAAACAGAUGCUAAUACCGCAUAACAACAAAAGCCGCAUGGCUUUUGUUUGAAAGAUGGCUUUGGCUAUCACUCUGGGAUGGACCUGCGGUGCAUUAGCUAGUUGGUAAGGUAACGGCUUACCAAGGCGAUGAUGCAUAGCCGAGUUGAGAGGAUGACCAGCCACACUGGAACUGAGACACGGUCCAG